Long non-coding RNA from Daucus carota subsp. sativus, 1190 nucleotides. RefSeq lists it as uncharacterized. The transcript has 2 exons. NCBI's taxonomy places the organism in Eukaryota, Viridiplantae, Streptophyta, Magnoliopsida, Apiales, Apiaceae. The record is from RefSeq and is a predicted model, not a curated record.
UUAGAUGAUUGGCAAUGUGUUUGGGUAAAAUACAAACAGCUAAUUCAAUCAGCUAUUUACCAAACACUUUCUUCCAAAACAGCUAAUUUCAAUCAACUAGUCAAAACAGCUAAUUCAAUCAGUUACAGCUAACAGCUAACUCCCAAACAGGUCCUUAGUAGACUUGACCAAAGAGGCGACCAUCUAUUUUCCUGAGCAAAUAAGAAAAGGGGCCGCAUAGAACUAGGGUUCCAAAUCUUGAAUCAGAUGGACAUAGCAGAAGUAUAUAGGGUAACUUACUAUGGUCCUGAAGAUCGUUUGCGUGGUGCAAUCAUGGUGUGUGAUAUGAAAACUGGCUUUCAAUUUUUAUACAAAGAUAAGAGUCUAGACGAAUUUGACGCCCAAGAAUUAUAUAUUAAACUAUUUAAUGCUGAAGAGCAUGAGGAACUCGACAAAAAAGCAACUAUGAUGAUUCAACCAUGUAUUAAAACUAGGGAUCAUAUUUUACUGAGCGGUCCUAAAGCAUCUGUUGGUUUCGUGCCCGAUCUUUCGCUGUGUCUUUUCCUUUUUGGUGACAUCUGUACGAUCAGUAUUCACAACCAUCGCCUAGGCUCAAAGGACCUUUCUGUUCCUCUGAAGAGAAGCUUUGUAACAUAUGAUGGCACCAGAAGUUUCUCGAUUUUAUAUGCAUUAUUCAAAAACGCAGUCGAAGCGCGUGUGAAAGUUAAGAUAUGCAAUGUGGUGUCUGCAUUUGGCCUCUAUGGUGUCGUAGCUGCUAGGACAAGUGCAAUAAAGGCCCCUGCGUAUUCAAGCAUACUUUUCUUCAAGGAUGAGGAUGAGAAACUUGAGGUGAAACCUGGAAAUGGAGAUAAUGACUUAGCGUUGUCGAGAAGUGUGGUAGGUGUGCCAUUCGGAUCUGAGCUAAUUCUGCAAUUCGGAUUAUGUGAUGAUGGAGGCGGUAAACUAGUUGAACACAAUGAGCGAAUUGAAGUUACACAAGGGGAAACAAGUUCCAGGACUGUUCGAAGUAUACCCUUUGGCAAUCAAUGUCUGAUUGAAGUUGAAAUUAACUGGAAAAGUAAGAGAGAUAUGCAACUAUAGAUAUGUUAGUUCUGCUAAUAUUGCAAGGGAAUGCUGAAUCGUUUAUGUUUUUAUUUGCUAAAUAUUAAAUCAUUUAUGUUGUUGCCUAAAGAUUGAUGUGUUUAUGUUUC